AUCAAAGUAAAUGGGACAAAAGUCAGUGAGUGAACCCUAGAUACUUGAUGUACUUUACGUUUUGUCCUGUAAACGCAUUAGCUUCAUAGUCUGAAAACGACAAUCAUGAGACAACGGACCCCUGGGUGCAGACACGUGAAGGGCCCCUCAAUCCUCUUUACAUAGGUGCAAGACACCAACAAAACUACUACAAACAAUGCAGCAGAAACAAAUGUCUGGAACCCGGGUGCCACUCCAAACCCAAGCUGGUCAAUGAAGGACGGCUCGUCCUGACUGUGGAUCUGAACUUUGACCCCAGCUUCAAAUGAUGUCUCAUCUGCAGGAAAACAAAGUGUGUAACACACUGUGAAAAAAGGCAUUUCUCUAGACACUUGAAGGAGGUUUCUGUCAGAGUUUCACACUCUGAGGUACUCAUCCUGCUGAAUGUCCAGCAUAAGCUCAAGUCCAUUACCCAUGCCUCCCUUGGUGGUGAUGAGGGGAGUGCGUCCUUCACCGCCUGCAUUAAAGGUGUAACACUUCCCAUACCGAGUGAAG
This is a long non-coding RNA of Lates calcarifer (barramundi perch), 534 nucleotides long. RefSeq lists it as uncharacterized. The transcript has 3 exons. Lineage: Eukaryota; Metazoa; Chordata; Actinopteri; Centropomidae. The record is from RefSeq and is a predicted model, not a curated record.